UGUUUUAGCUCCUAGUAGCAGGUUCAGGCUUGGAGCUCACAGGUCCUGCAGUUUUGUGCUUUUCAACCUCACUCUUCACAGGCCUCGGACUUAAAAAACGCAGCUGUGAUGCAAGUCCAUUCCGCUUGCUGCAAACUUGUUGGAAUAAAAUGGGGUGGGAUUGGAUGCCCAGGGCAAGAAAACGGUUUAGGGUAAACUCGGGUAGAGAACCCAGCAGGCCUCUGCCCUUCUCCUGCUGCCAUCCUCCAAGUUGCAGAGAGUUGGAGCUGUAAUCCUGACCACCCGGCAACAUACUAACAGCUACACAGCUUUAAGAGAGUGCCUGGUACCUGAAGGCCGGCUCCUACUGGGACUAAUUCCAUCCAGACAGCUCCAACCCCCCAGUACACAGUUGUAUAUUCUUCAUUGUGAGUCCUUCUAGUUGUGGCAUGUGGGAUGCUGCCUCAGCGUGGUUUGAUGAGCAGUGCCAUGUCCGAGCCCAGGAUUCGAACCAACGAAACACUGGGCAGCCUGCAGUGGAGCGCGCGGACUUAACCACUUGACCACAGAGCCAGCCCUGAAGAUUGACAACUCUUGAUAGCAUGGGUUAAUAUUUGUUUUUCCUGUGUUGGGCCUUUGCCUACCAUAAAAGGGGAAGAGAAACUAAGGGAUGUGUGUGCAAUGUAUGGCUCACACACAUACACAUCUACCUCAUUUAUUCCUUUCAAUAAUUUCAUGAGGGUUGUUAUCCACAUUGUAUAGACAAAGAAAUCUGAGGCUCAGAGAAUGAAAUGAUUUG
This 778-nucleotide long non-coding RNA is filed under the name Equus caballus (horse). RNAcentral describes it as "lncRNA (ENSECAG00000056140.1)". The record is from RNAcentral. Lineage: Eukaryota; Metazoa; Chordata; Mammalia; Perissodactyla; Equidae.